GACGAACGCUGGCGGCGUGCUUAACACAUGCAAGUCGAGCGGAGCGGCGAACGGGCGAGUAACGCGUGAGUAACUGCCCCCCUCUCUGGGAUAACAGUUGGAAACGGCUGCUAAUACCGGAUAGUGGGGGAUGUGUCGGGUGCUACCAGCUUGUUGGGUGGGUAGUGGCCUACCAAGGCGACGACGGUGGGCCGGCCGGAGAGGGGGACCGGCCACAGAGGGGUGAGGAACGACCCGAGCGGCUACGGGAGGCAGCAGUGGAGAAUAGUGCACGAUGGGGCAAACCCUGAUGGAGCAACGCCGCGUGCGGGAUGACGGCCUUCGGGGGGGAAACCGCUUUCAGCCAUGACGCGGUAGUGGCAGAAGAAGCACCGGCUAACUACGUGCCAGCCGCCGCGGUAAUAC
This 405-nucleotide ribosomal RNA is filed under the name uncultured bacterium. Its description in RNAcentral is "partial 16S ribosomal RNA". It matches the Rfam family "Bacterial small subunit ribosomal RNA", at positions 28 to 526 of the family's 1533-position model. The record is from RNAcentral.